Molecule: ribosomal RNA, 484 nt
Filed under: uncultured bacterium
Lineage: Bacteria
Description: partial 16S ribosomal RNA
Rfam family: Bacterial small subunit ribosomal RNA
Source: RNAcentral
AGUGAACGCUGGCGGCAGGCCUAACACAUGCAAGUCGAGCGGCAGCGGGUCCUUCGGGCUGCCUGCGAGCGGCGGACGGGUGAGGGAUUCGUCGGAAUCUGCCUUAUUGUGGGGGAUAACGUAUGGAAACUUACGCUAAUACCGCAUACGACCUACGGGUGAAAGUGGGGGACCGCCAGGCCUCACGCAGAAAGAUGAGACGACGUCGGAUUAGCCAGUUGGCGGGGUAAAGGCCCACCAAGGCGACGAUCCGUAGCUGGUCUGAGAGGAUGAUCAGCCACACUGGACCUGAGACACGGUCCAGACUCCUACGGGAGGAAGCAGUGGGGAAUAUUCGACAAUGGGCGCAAGCCUGAUCCAGCCAUGCCGCGUGUGUGAAGAAGGCCUUCGGGUUGUAAAGCACUUUUGUCCGGAAAGAAAACCUGUCGGCUAAUACCCGGCGGGGAUGACGGUACCGGAAGAAUAAGCACCGGCUAACUUCGUG